RNAcentral lists this ribosomal RNA (492 nucleotides) under uncultured bacterium. Its description in RNAcentral is "partial 16S ribosomal RNA". It matches the Rfam family "Bacterial small subunit ribosomal RNA", at positions 29 to 507 of the family's 1533-position model. The record is from RNAcentral.
AGUGAACGCUGGCGGUAGGCCUAACACAUGCAAGUCGAACGGCAGCACAGUAAGAGCUUGCUCUUACGGGUGGCGAGUGGCGGACGGGUGAGGAAUACAUCGGAAUCUACUUUUUCGUGGGGGAUAACGUAGGGAAACUUACGCUAAUACCGCAUACGACCUACGGGUGAAAGCAGGGGAUCUUCGGACCUUGCGCGAUUGAAUGAGCCGAUGUCGGAUUAGCUAGUUGGCGGGGUAAAGGCCCACCAAGGCGACGAUCCGUAGCUGGUCUGAGAGGAUGAUCAGCCACACCGGAACUUAGACACGGUCCCGACUCCUACGGGAGGGCGCAGUUGGGAAUAUUGGACAAUGGGCGCAAGGCUGAUCCAGCCAUACCGCGUGGGUGAAGAAGGCCUUCGGGUUGUAAAGCCCUUUUGUUGGGAAAGAAAAGCAGCAGGUUAAUACCCCGCUGUUCUGACGGUACCCAAAGAAUAAGCACCGGCUAACUUCGUG